CUACGGGCCGCUGCAGUGGGGAAUAUUGCACAAUGGAGGAAACUCUGAUGCAGCAACGCCGCGUGGAGGAUGACACUUUUCGGAGCGUAAACUCCUUUUAUAUAGGAAGAAGAUGACGGUACUAUAUGAAUAAGCGCCGGCUAACUCCGUGCCAGCAGCCGCGGUAAUACGGAGGGCGCAAGCGUUACUCGGAAUCACUGGGCGUAAAGAGCGUGUAGGCGGAUUAAAAAGUCAGAAGUGAAAUCCUAUAGCUUAACUAUAGAACUGCUUCUGAAACUCUUAAUCUAGAAUAUGGGAGAGGUAGAUGGAAUUUCUGGUGUAGGGGUAAAAUCCGUAGAGAUCAGAAGGAAUACCGAUUGCGAAGGCGAUCUACUAGAGCAUUAUUGACGCUGAGACGCGAAAGCGUGGGGAGCAAACAGGAUUAGAUACCCUAGUAGUC
RNAcentral lists this ribosomal RNA (439 nucleotides) under uncultured bacterium. RNAcentral's name for it is "partial 16S ribosomal RNA". It matches the Rfam family "Bacterial small subunit ribosomal RNA", at positions 339 to 795 of the family's 1533-position model. The record is from RNAcentral.